Molecule: transfer RNA, 64 nt
Filed under: Conostigmus sp. MM-2013
Lineage: Eukaryota; Metazoa; Arthropoda; Insecta; Hymenoptera; Megaspilidae
Description: tRNA-Thr
Source: RNAcentral
AGCUUUUUAGUUUAAAAAAAACAUUAAUUUUGUAAAUUAAAUUUAUUGUAAUCAAUUUAAGCUA